RNAcentral lists this ribosomal RNA (325 nucleotides) under uncultured eukaryote. Its description in RNAcentral is "partial 18S ribosomal RNA". It matches the Rfam family "Eukaryotic small subunit ribosomal RNA", at positions 1470 to 1796 of the family's 1831-position model. The record is from RNAcentral.
CCCUUAGAUGUUCUGGGCCGCACGCGCGCUACACUGAUGCAUUCAACGAGUCUAUCCUUGACCGACAGGUCCGGGUAAUCUUUGAAUCUGCAUCGUGACGGGGAUAGAUUAUUGCAAUUAUUAAUCUUCAACGAGGAAUGCCUAGUAGGCGCAAGUCAUCAGCUUGCGUCGAUUACGUCCCUGCCCUUUGUACACACCGCCCGUCGCUCCUACCGAUUGGGUGUGCUGGUGAAAUGUUCGGAUCGGCCGUUUGUCGCGGUUUCCGCGGCUCGUGGCUGAGAAGUUCAUUAAACCCUCCCACCUAGAGGAAGGAGAAGUCGUAACA